CCGUUGAUGUAGUAUAGGGGUUAAAACGUCAGAUUGCGACGCUGGCGACCCGGGUUUGAUCCCUGGUCAGAGUG
Non-coding RNA from Gymnothorax javanicus (giant moray), 74 nucleotides. The record is from the annotation of a GenBank genome assembly. NCBI's taxonomy places the organism in Eukaryota, Metazoa, Chordata, Actinopteri, Anguilliformes, Muraenidae.